Ricinus communis (castor bean) is the source of this 1280-nucleotide long non-coding RNA. RefSeq lists it as uncharacterized. Lineage: Eukaryota; Viridiplantae; Streptophyta; Magnoliopsida; Malpighiales; Euphorbiaceae. The transcript is spliced from 5 exons. The record is from RefSeq and is a predicted model, not a curated record.
GUUGACUUGUACAUGUGUAGUUCACUUUUACAAUUCUAUCAUCUUCAUCAGCUCACUCUCCUACGAAAUUCUCUAAUUUCCUCCCCCUCAUUCCAUGCAAAGACACCAUUUUUAUUUAUUUUUCUGCAGCUGCUCUCUAUUCUCUUUCACUAACUGGUAUAUUUUAAUUAUAAUUCUUUUACUUAGCUUAAUUACAAGAUGUUAAAGCAAGUUUCGGAAAGUACUAAAUCAAAGAAAUAGUCUACACGGCAAAGGCCAUUGCAACAACUCCAUGUUUCAGAUUGUACAAGGUUGUGCUGGGGCGAGUCUCUUUCGUUUCUUGUCUCUGGUAUGGUUGACCAAUUUGCCGUCACCCGACCCGACCAAAUUUACCAAUUUGUGGGCCUGUCUGCGAUUCAGUGGCCCAUCACCAUUGGGCUACGUGGUUAAUUAUUAGCGACAAGAGAGCUGACAUGACUAGCGAGGCGUAAAUAAAAAUAAAAGUUGCAGGAUCGAUCAGCUGUUAAAAAGGAGGCUGCCUUUAGUCUAGAAAGCAAGAAAACAAGAAAACUCAAAAAUAUUUUUCUAGAGAUCCACUCAAGAAAGCAAGAAAACUCAAGGAAGGAGAAGGACUCUCCAAAGCUAUUCCGUGAAAGGUCGGUCUUUUCUCAAUGGCGUGUGGAUUCCUGUCAAUCAUCACAGAGCUGGAAAAUGGCUACGAUCAUCCUAUGGUUCUGGAGGGAACUAGGCAUUUGGGAAUGUUUCCUAUGGUUAGGAUCACAGUCCCACCAGGCGAGGUAAAAGAUAUAUGCUAUGGCAAUCUUUGCAUUGAAGAGAAUCCAGAUCGUCCGAUUCUGGUGUCUAUUUUUCUGGACGGUGCCGCUGAAGAGGAGAAGAAGAAGUAUAUCCUCUCUACCCUUAUAAGGGACAAUGGCAAGCUGGUGCUCAAUUACGAGAAUAGUAAUGUUACUUAUAUGCCUGUGGAGGGGAAUAUUAUGACAAGGAUUGGAUGCAUUGUCAAUCUAAAGCGCUUUAUGACAGGAAUCUGGGAGAAACUCAACAACCAUUGAAAGGUUAAUUAUAAGGAGCAUCAUCACGGAUGGGGCUUCCAGGCAUACACAACUUUGUCGGAGAAAACAUACGUUGGCUUGCUUCAUAGUUAAUUUGAGACUUUUAUUUUACUCUUCUUUGCAAUUGCAUAUUUCAUUCAGCUAAAACUCCGUGGACUUCUGUAUUUGCAUCUUAUCUUCUUGUUGUUGGCAUUUGACAAUUAUUUACAAUCAUGGUUUUAUUAUUUGUUA